UGCCCCGCGAGGGGAGCCCUAGCACAGGUGCUGCAUGGCCGUCGUCAGCUCGUGCCGUGAGGUGUUGGGUUAAGUCCCGCUAACGAGCGCAACCCCCGCCGUUAGUUGCCAGCGGUUCGGCCGGGCACUCUAACGGGACUGCCCGCGAAAGCGGGAGGAAGGAGGGGACGACGUCUGGUCAGCAUGGCCCUUACGGCCUGGGCGACACACGUGCUACAAUGCCCACUACAAAGCGAUGCCACCCGGCAACGGGAGCUAAUCGCAAAAAGGUGGGCCCAGUUCGGAUUGGGGUCUGCAACCCGACCCCAUGAAGCCGGAAUCGCUAGUAAUCGCGGAUCAGCCAUGCCGCGGUGAAUACGUUCCCGGCCGUU
RNAcentral lists this ribosomal RNA (371 nucleotides) under uncultured Thermus sp. RNAcentral describes it as "bacterial SSU rRNA". It matches the Rfam family "Bacterial small subunit ribosomal RNA", at positions 1013 to 1382 of the family's 1533-position model. Lineage: Bacteria; Thermotogati; Deinococcota; Deinococci; Thermales; Thermaceae. The record is from RNAcentral.